Molecule: ribosomal RNA, 484 nt
Filed under: uncultured bacterium
Lineage: Bacteria
Description: partial 16S ribosomal RNA
Rfam family: Bacterial small subunit ribosomal RNA
Source: RNAcentral
AUUGAACGCUGGCGGCAUGCCUUACACAUGCAAGUCGAACGGCAGCGCGGGAGCAAUCCUGGCGGCGAGUGGCGAACGGGUGGGUAAUACAUCGGAACGUGCCCAAUCGUGGGGGAUAACGCAGCGAAAGCUGUGCUAAUACCGCAUACGAUCUACGGAUGAAAGCAGGGGAUCGCAAGACCUUGCGCGAAUGGAGCGGCCGAUGGCAGAUUAGGUAGUUGGUGAGGUAAAGGCUCACCAAGCCUUCGAUCUGUAGCUGGUCUGAGAGGACGACCAGCCACACUGGGACUGAGACACGGCCCAGACUCCUACGGGAGGCAGCAGUGGGGAAUUUUGGACAAUGGGCGAAAGCCUGAUCCAGCCAUGCCGCGUGCAGGAUGAAGGCCUUCGGGUUGUAAACUGCUUUUGUACGGAACGAAACGGUCUUUUCUAAUAAAGAAGGCUAAUGACGGUACCGUAAGAAUAAGCACCGGCUAACUACGUG